RNAcentral lists this ribosomal RNA (543 nucleotides) under denitrifying bacterium W(A2). RNAcentral describes it as "bacterial SSU rRNA". It matches the Rfam family "Bacterial small subunit ribosomal RNA", at positions 353 to 906 of the family's 1533-position model. The record is from RNAcentral. RNAcentral also lists the same sequence under 1 other name.
AGUGGGGAAUAUUGCACAAUGGGCGAAAGCCUGAUGCAGCGACGCCGCGUGAGGGAUGACGGCCUUCGGGUUGUAAACCUCUUUCAGCAGGGAAGAAGCGAAAGUGACGGUACCUGCAGAAGAAGCGCCGGCUAACUACGUGCCAGCAGCCGCGGUAAUACGUAGGGCGCAAGCGUUGUCCGGAAUUAUUGGGCGUAAAGAGCUCGUAGGCGGCUUGUCACGUCGAUUGUGAAAGCCCGAGGCUUAACCUCGGGUCUGCAGUCGAUACGGGCUAGCUAGAGUGUGGUAGGGGAGAUCGGAAUUCCUGGUGUAGCGGUGAAAUGCGCAGAUAUCAGGAGGAACACCGGUGGCGAAGGCGGAUCUCUGGGCCAUUACUGACGCUGAGGAGCGAAAGCGUGGGGAGCGAACAGGAUUAGAUACCCUGGUAGUCCACGCCGUAAACGGUGGGAACUAGGUGUUGGCGACAUUCCACGUCGUCGGUGCCGCAGCUAACGCAUUAAGUUCCCCGCCUGGGGAGUACGGCCGCAAGGCUAAAACUCAAAG